Molecule: ribosomal RNA, 497 nt
Filed under: uncultured bacterium
Lineage: Bacteria
Description: partial 16S ribosomal RNA
Rfam family: Bacterial small subunit ribosomal RNA
Source: RNAcentral
GAUGAACGCUGGCGGCGUGCCUAAUACAUGCCAGUCGAGCGAACAGACGAGGAGCUUGCUCCUCUGACGUUAGCGGCGGACGGGUGAGUAACACGUGGAUAACCUACCUAUAAGACUGGGAUAACUUCGGGAAACCGGAGCUAAUACCGGAUCAUAUAUUGAACCGCAUGGUUCAAUAGUGAAAGACGGUUUUGCUGUCACUUAUAGAUGGAUCCGCGCCGCAUUAGCUAGUUGGUAAGGUAACGGCUUACCAAGGCGACGAUGCGUAGCCGACCUGAGAGGAUGAUCGGCCACACUGGAACUGAGACACGGUCCAGACUCCUACGGGAGGCAGCAGUAGGGAAUCUUCCGCAAUGGGCGAAAGCCUGACGGAGCAACGCCGCGUGAGUGAUGAAGGUCUUCGGAUCGUAAAGCUCUGUUAUUAGGGAAGAACAAAUGUGUAAGUAACUAUGCACGUCUUGACGGUACCUAAUCAGAAAGCCACGGCUAACUACGUG